This 366-nucleotide ribosomal RNA is filed under the name Xanthoriicola physciae. RNAcentral describes it as "LSU rRNA". It matches the Rfam family "Eukaryotic large subunit ribosomal RNA", at positions 484 to 865 of the family's 3401-position model. The record is from RNAcentral. Lineage: Eukaryota; Fungi; Ascomycota; Dothideomycetes; Mycosphaerellales; Teratosphaeriaceae.
ACCGCCGUCGGGCCAGCAUCGCGUGGGCGCGCCGGACAAAGGCGCGGGGAAUGUGGNCCCCCUCUGGGGGGGUGUUAUAGCCCCGCGUGCGAUGCGGCGCCGCCCGCGCGAGGUCCGCGCUUCGGCUAGGAUGCUGGCGUAAUGGUCGCAUGCGGCCCGUCUUGAAACACGGACCAAGGAGUCUAACAUCUGUGCGAGUGUUCGGGUGUCAAACCCCUACGCGGAAUGAAAGUGAACGNAGGUGGGAGCUUCGGCGCACCAUCGACCGAUCCUGAUGUCCUCGGAUGGAUUUGAGUAAGAGCAUAGCUGUUGGGACCCGAAAGAUGGUGAACUAUGCCUGAAUAGGGUGAAGCCAGAGGAAACUCU